RNAcentral lists this ribosomal RNA (515 nucleotides) under Burkholderia vietnamiensis. RNAcentral's name for it is "bacterial SSU rRNA". It matches the Rfam family "Bacterial small subunit ribosomal RNA", at positions 1051 to 1533 of the family's 1533-position model. Lineage: Bacteria; Pseudomonadati; Pseudomonadota; Betaproteobacteria; Burkholderiales; Burkholderiaceae. The record is from RNAcentral.
GUCGUCUCCGUAUUCGUUUCGAGCGCCGUGCAGACAUUCACGGCGCGUUCCUCAAACUCGGUUGCUGUCUGAUCUGCUGGAAUACCCUUCGGCGGGCCGAUCAGUCUUUAUGAAACCGUCUCUAAGGAGACUGCCGGUGACAAACCGGAGGAAGGUGGGGAUGACGUCAAGUCCUCAUGGCCCUUAUGGGUAGGGCUUCACACGUCAUACAAUGGUCGGAACAGAGGGUUGCCAACCCGCGAGGGGGAGCUAAUCCCAGAAAACCGAUCGUAGUCCGGAUUGCACUCUGCAACUCGAGUGCAUGAAGCUGGAAUCGCUAGUAAUCGCGGAUCAGCAUGCCGCGGUGAAUACGUUCCCGGGUCUUGUACACACCGCCCGUCACACCAUGGGAGUGGGUUUUACCAGAAGUGGCUAGUCUAACCGCAAGGAGGACGGUCACCACGGUAGGAUUCAUGACUGGGGUGAAGUCGUAACAAGGUAGCCGUAUCGGAAGGUGCGGCUGGAUCACCUCCUUU